AAUAUUUGGCAAUGGACGGAAGACUGACCCAGACAUGCCGCGUGAAGGAUGAAGGCGUGCUGCGUUGUGAACUGCUUUUACCAGGGAUGAAUUGAUAUGGUUCUCAAUAUUUUGACGGUACCGGGGGAAUAAGCACCGGCUAACUCCGUGCCAGCAGCCGCGGUAAUACGGAGGGUGCAAGCGUUAUCCGGAUUUACUGGGUUUAAAGGGUACGUAGGCGGACUAUUAAGUCAGGGGUGAAAUCUCCGAGCUCAACUCGGAAACUGCCUUUGAAACUAGUGGUCUUGAAUUAUGUUGAGGUUGGCGGAAUAUAACAUGUAGCGGUGAAAUGCAUAGAUAUGUUAUAGAACACCGAUUGCGAAGGCAGCUGACUAAACAUAUAUUGACGCUGAUGUACGAAAGCGUGGGGAUCAAAC
Molecule: ribosomal RNA, 416 nt
Filed under: uncultured bacterium
Lineage: Bacteria
Description: partial 16S ribosomal RNA
Rfam family: Bacterial small subunit ribosomal RNA
Source: RNAcentral